Molecule: long non-coding RNA, 442 nt
Filed under: Rattus norvegicus (Norway rat)
Lineage: Eukaryota; Metazoa; Chordata; Mammalia; Rodentia; Muridae
Description: long non-coding RNA NONRATT032947
Source: RNAcentral
GUUUCAUAGUUUCUUCAUGAGACUUUUACCCUAAAGAAUUGCAAUUGCGACUGCUUACCUAGUCUCUUUUCAUUUUUUCUUUACCUCUUCACGGUUAUCAGAAUGCAGCUGAUAAACACCCUUACCCCAUGCUGUCUUUCUAUCUUCAGAACCACAGACCUGUACAUUGAGGGAUUUUCUCUGCAGCAAUGGAGACUGUGUUUCAUCAAGGUUCUGGUGUGAUGGAGAGUUUGACUGUGCUGAUGGUUCUGAUGAGAAAAAUUGUGAAACGAGUUGUUCCAAAGAUCAAUUUCAGUGUUCCAAUGGCCAAUGUCUGUCAGCAAAAUGGAAGUGUGAUGGACAUGAAGAUUGUAAAUAUGGAGAAGAUGAGAAAAACUGUGAGCCAGGUAAAAUUAGAAUCGAGUAUCCACAUUAGUGCUUCCUCUAAAUGUGAUGGAAUUUA